RNAcentral lists this long non-coding RNA (33900 nucleotides) under Populus tremula. RNAcentral describes it as "long non-coding RNA (PTRE_LNC000780)". The record is from RNAcentral. Lineage: Eukaryota; Viridiplantae; Streptophyta; Magnoliopsida; Malpighiales; Salicaceae.
UAUUCUUUCAUGUCUAGAUACACCUUCCACAUAUCUCUCCCUUCAUCGUUAACAGACACCUAUUUAUUUCUCAAUACAGUGGCACAAAACGAAUAAAUUACUUUCUUAUGCAACAUUGACAUAAAAAUAGAGAACUAGAGAACAAUCAAGAUGCUGGCAGAUUAAUAUUUUCCUUGGUAGUUUUAGUUUUCUUAUAUAGUUCAGGAAUGCUUGCGCUAUUUGAAUUCUACAUGAGUCAUAAAACUUUUAAUGGUGAUUCCUCUUCUAAAAGGAUUGGGAUUUAGACCUAAAACUAGUAUAAAUUGGGCUGCCAAUGCUGCUUUUCAGAAAUGUCUUAUAUUAUUAUCACUCUAUUUACAUUUUAGAGGUUUUCUAUGCACUCUAAACCUAUUUUUCUAGUUCCAGUUUCAUUAUCUUCCAGUUUUUGCCAUCAAAAUUCUAUUCUUUUCUGUUUUGAGUUAAUUUCUCUUCCCACCGCCACAUCAUGAGAUACAAACCUGAAAAAUAGAAUUUUGGUCAUAUGCAUAGAACAAGCCAGCAGUGGCAUCACUGCAUAAUCCGAUAACACCCCUUGAAACCGAUUCUGAUGUUUGGUCAAACUGAAGCUCCUCUAUAAUUUGCUCACUGAUUCUGUUAACAACCUAUCAAAACAUGACAAAGAAGUAUGAACACCUAUAGAAGGUAAAUGCAUAAAUUGGAAAAUCCUAGGUGAUGCGAAGGCAACCUAAUUUAAAUCCAAAAUACUUCAGUAGUUGAACAUGAGAUGUAAUAGAAGAGACUAAGCAAAAGUAAGGCCUCAUAACCAGAAAUAGUUACAAAAACUGAAGGUAAUGAAUGAAAACUUAUGUUUAUACUCAUAAAGUCAACCAAUUGGCAUUAUCAAGAGUAAGAGUGUCAUGAGUGCUUGUUAUGACUUACCUUAACCUUGUUUCCAAUAAGAAGUAAGAAAUGAAAUUCAGAAACUGCCAUUGAGCUUGGUUUAACUGCAUCAACACCAUCACUUAAUUUUGAAUAGUCCAAAAGAGCCUUAUUCUCCACAAAAUUCUCAUCACCAUUUAUGUAACUGCCCAAGAAAUUUCCAUUGAACAACUGUAAGUAAAGGUUUUGCAAUAGAAAGCCAUUUGCUAAAACAUUGAGGACUAACAAGCGGCAUAUGUAGAGAAAAUACAAUAGCCAUUUUCUAAGACAUCAGUGGAACACAGCUGUACCAGCAACACAAAUUUUUUUAUCAUUUACAAAAAUGUGACAAAUAAAAGAACUUUAACAGAUGCUUCUGUGGAUAUAAAGGGAGUAGUCAAGAAUGACAUUCCUUACCUAUGCUGCGCUCCAAAAUUUAAGCCACCAUGAUAGAUACCUGCUCCAGAAAGCCAUGCAAAAUGCAUUGCUCUUCUUUGCUUGAUAAAAAAAUGCAAUUCACUGAUAGAUGACCAAAACAGCACAGGAGCUUCAUGGUCAGAAAGUUCAAGAAAAAUGGAAAAUAACUGUUCCCAAGUCAUCAUACAAAACCAUAAAUUACAGAUUACAAAAAUAAAUAAAUAAAUAAGUAAAGAAACUUGAAUAAAUUUAGGCAAUGAGAAGUGCUUGCCUGUUUGGUAUUUCCCCUGGCAGUUCCAUAAAAUGCACCGCACGUUCCAAGUAACUAGCAAAAACUGUCUACAAAUGCUAACAACUAAUAAGAAUUCAAUUUGAAUUAUAGCCAAUAUCAUGUAAAACAAACUGCAGCAAGCCAAUAACGAGUUGUUCCAGUCACUUGGUAAGAAAUUCAUAGCACAGCCACAAACAAAUUCAGGAUCAAAAGCACAAAGAUAAAGAGUUCUACAACAAUCAGUUACUUCAUGAUAGCACACAGAAUUUAUAUCAGAAACAAACUUACCUCCAAUAAUCCAAUUCCAGUAAAAGAAUAAAGUCGUGUUGGAGUAACAGCCAUCACAUAAUAUCUGGUUACAUUGCUUAAGCUAGCCGUUUCCAUCUGCAAACCAAAAAGAGAUCAUUUACUUAAGCACAGACAUACAUGACCUAUAAUUAAUCCCAAAAUGCAAUUCCUUCAAGUUUAUCGACUUUUAUCAACCAAAACCAAAGAAAGAGCAAACCUGCAAAGCCAUGAAAGCUUCAGGCAAUUCCUUUAAUUCAAACAAAAACUUUAUAUACUUCUCCCUCUUAUCUUUCUCAUCUACAGCCAUCUCAAACAGCUGCCCAUUAUCCGUCCCAAUAACAACUUCCUUCGUAGACGCUGCACAAGAAAACAUCACAAUUAAUCAAAACCAUUAAUUCCAGUCACUUUCUACAAGUAACUCAAAAGGAUAUCAUAAUCACUUAAACUUCUAUCUUUUUUCACUUUAAUCGAAAUUAUACCAUAAUUUAGCAAGUUAAAUCAAACUAACACAUCACACAAACCCCUCUCUAACUUGAAAUCACAAUUCACAGACACAGUAAUAAAAUUUACAACAAAACGAAACUAACAUAAAUUUCCACAGGGUUGAGCUUUUACUUUUUCACUUUAAUCCACAAUUAACAUACACAUUUAAACUACGAUUUUUCUUUAAAACAAGCAAUAAAAAAAAAUCAAAACUAAUUACCUUCAGUAAUCAGUUGCCGAUUCCAAGCAACAGCAUUAACGAUCAAACCUUUCAACCUCCCAAGCACACGUGGUUUACUCCAUUUAGCAUGCAUAUAAAACGUCUCCGCACCACCUCCACCAAUAACGGUGGCGAUACAGUGGCUACCACCAGGAUCCACAAACACUCUAUGUAUAGAUUGAUCGCCAGGCCGUCCACUAGAAAGAUCAAAAUCUAGCAUUUCAAGGAAGAAAAUUAGAGAUUUGCUUCUUUGACAGAAACAACCGGAAGAAUUUGAAUGUGAAUUGAGUACCGGAAGAACCGCCGGCGCCAAAAUCGUGUCGAAUAAGCCAGCCUUUGCUGGUACCUAAUAAGAUGACGUCGUUUCCUGCUGCCAUACAGGUGAUAACACCACGGCCUUUUGAUGCGUACCGUUCUAGGAGAUCGACGGUGAAUACUUGCCGUGAUUGAUCCAUUUCCUGCAAAGAUUUUUUAGAUGAAAUUAUUGAAUUUAUAAGCAAUGGUUUUGAUUUAGUUUUUUUCUGAGAAAAAUUGAGUUACCUGACUUUUUAAUCGGGGACUGAUCGACCGGGAACGUUACCUGAGGUGGUAACCGUUGAUUAAUGAAGUUAUCGGUUUACAGAGGGAUUUUAACGGAUUUCACUUAUUGAGUUCAAUGAAUUCACACGACGUCGUUCCUCACCGCUUUGGUUUUUCUUGCCUUUUUAUUUUACACUCUUUGUUUCAAGUAUAAAUAAUCGUGGCCGAGUAAAGUUUUUUCUAAUGUAUUAAAAAAAAAUUAGUUGACUACAAUUUAAGCAAAUUUAGAUUAAUUUUAUUAACACAUGGCUUGAAUUAUGAAAUUAAAAUAGUAUGUAGAAAAAGAUAUUGAAAAAUAUUGUAAACCUCAAAAUCUAAUAAUCAAAUGAAAAAUAAUGAAAACAAAAUUCAAAAAAUAUAACAUCGAAUAAAAAUACUCAAGUCAACCUAAAUUACUUGAUUAACCAACACCUCACAAUAUGAGAUUGGAAUAAAACAAAAAAAAAAUCAAAAGAAGAGUUUAGUUAAAAAAAAAAAACUCAAGUUCAAUAAAAAAAAACAGUGUUAAUUCGGGUUAAAUUUAUUUACCCGCUAUCAGGAUAUCCUAAUAGAAAUAAAAGCUAAAAAUAGCAAGGUCAAGGGCCACUAAUUUAAUGUUAAAUGAUAAAAUUAAAAAAAAUACUUUUAAAAAAAGUCGAGGGAAACAAACCUGAAUCAACUCCAGUUAACUUGACUAAUCCGUCACUCAUGAUAUAAGAUCGGGAUAAAAAAAAUAGACUUCCAAAAGAAAAACCUAUCAAAAAAACACCGAAUUUUAAUAAAGAAAUUAUUGAAAAAUAAAACUUGAGCUAACUUGACCAACUCACACUUAGAAUAACCUAAUAGAUAGAAAAAAAAAUCACAAAACUAAAGGUCAAUAUUUUAAUGCUAAAUGGUGAAAUUGAAAAAAAAUCUCAUAAAAAAAAAUUAAAAAAAAAAUUGAGUCAACUCGGGUUAACUCGAUUAACCUGUUACUCGAGAUAUGAGAUUGAGAUAACUUAAAAAAAAAGUGGAACAAACAAUGAAGUCAAUGACCUAAUAACAAAAAGUAAAAUUAUCAAUUUAAAAUUAUUUUUUUUAUAAAUGACCCAAAAAAAAACCCGAACCUAAAUCGAGUCUAAGUCAUGAGACAGAGAUUACCAUGUAAGAAGGCAAUCAUGAAAAAAUAACAAAGUAAAAUUUUUAAUUGUAAAAUAAUUUAGAACUCAAAUAAUAUAGAUCAAAUAUGACAUAAAAACAAAAUGAAAGAAAAUAUUCAGGGGUUAAAUUGGAAAAUAAAAUAAAUUAAUAAAAUGAUAAAAAAAAACAUAAUUGAAAGAAUAAAGACAAAAAUUAGAUAAAAAAAUAAAUAAAAAAAGAUGUCGAGGGACAAAAAAAAAUGAUAUGAGAAUAGCAAUAAAAAAAAUAAAAGAAUGAGGAUCAAAUUUUAAUUAAAAAAACAAAUGCAAUAAAAUGAUAACGAACAAAAUUGAAAAACAAUAAUCAAGAAAAGUAUAUAAAACACACAAAAAAUCAAUCAAAAGUAGAAGGAUCAAAAUAUAUAUAAAAAUCAAAUGGAAUAAAAUACCAAUAGAUGAAAUUAAAAAAAAAACUAAACUUCAAAAAGCAUAAAAAGCAAAAGAAAUAAUUAUUAUAAGAAUAAAAACCAAAAUUGAUAAAAUUACAAAUUGGAGGACACAGUUAUUUUUUAGAAAGGCUGACACAAAUUUAAAGGGCAUGAUAAAGAAAGAAAAAAAAACUUUACCGCAACCCAACCAGAAUUUGGCCAUAAGUCUUAGCAUUAUUUAAGAAAAAUCAUAAAAAAAAUCAUUAUAAAUUAUAUGAUAAUAUCAUAAUUAGAGAAAGUAUUUUCAAUUUAAGUGAUGCUAGAACUUGAGUUCCUAGAUUAAAUUAAAAAAUUUUAGGUUAAUAGAUGUACAAUUGUUUUUAACACUAUUAUAAUUAUAUGUUAAUCUUGUUACACCAAUGCAUCAUUUUUUAUGAUAUUUUCAAUUUUUUACCUCUAUUUUGUUAACAAAACGAUUCAUGAUAUUACUAAUGAUAAGUGAUUAUGAUUUUUUUUUCUUCUAAACGAAGAUGAGAGUUAAUAUUUAUGUUUUGAGUUUUGGUAUUUCCAGUACUAUCUAUACGGGUUUGAAUUCAAAAUUAUUAUUUAUAUUAAUUUUUUAGAUAUUUAAAUUCAACCAAUUAAGUUUAACUAAAUAUCUAUUAAGUUUACAACUAUAAUUUUUACUUUGUGAGAUUUGAUAUUGUGGUGUAAAAUAUUUUUUAAAUAUUUUUAUUUGAAAAUGUAUUAAAAUAUUUAUUUUUAUUUUUUUAUAUUAACACUAAAAAACUAAAAAAAUAUUAAUUUAAUAGUUUUUAAAUAAAAAAAUUAUUUUUAAAACAACAACACUCCUGAAUAUUCACUGCUCUCUUUGCUGAUGGGUUAUGACCCAAUAUGACUGCAGAAAGCAUGGGCCGACCGAUACACGUAUACGCUCCUUAUGGACCCCAUUAAACAAGGAAACAAACCGCCGCACCAAAUCCCGUCCCUACAGAAUUUUCCAUUUUUUGACCAAUAAAUCCUUUAAAUCAAAUCGGAGCGUCUAAUACUAUAAGCCGUUUAUAAUCCAACGGUCAAUAUCCCACCAUUAGGCUCCAACGAAUACUUUUUCUCCAACGGUCAAAAAAAUCCUCAAAACAACUCAAAACCCUCAAAAAUCCCCACAUCAAAAACCCACACACAAAAAAAAUAAACUCUCUUUUCUCACAGACAGAUUCCUUAAAAAAGGAUCCAAUCUUGAUCUGUUAAAAACAUAGAAAAUCCAUCAUUUUGAUCUUUCAAGAAGAAAGAUGAGUAGUAUUCUUCAAUACCCGGAUGUGGUUGAUGCUCCUGAAGUUCAGAUAUGGAACAAUGCAGCGUUUGAUAAUGGAGAAUCAGAGGGUUCUUUGAAUCUUAAGUCUUCUUGGUGGAAUCAAAGUCUUGAAUCCGAUGCAAGCAAAGAGAAUCUUAGCCCAGUUUGUGAACAAUCUUCUCCUGUUUUUGUCAAUUCUUCAAAACCCGCCAAGCCACUUCAAUCUAAUGCCCAUCCUUUUAACUCACAAGGGAGUAAUUCAAUGAAGGUUGGGUUUUCGAAGAUGGUGGAGAAAAAUGAGGAGAUCAAGAAUCAUGAUGAGAAAAAGAUUGAUAUAGAGAUUGAAGAGAUCGAGAAGGAGAUUAAGCGUUUAUCUUCAAGACUUGAAGUACUUAGGCUUGAAAAGGCAGAGAGGAAUUUAUCAAAGACUAUUGAAAAGAGAGGGAGGGUUGUGGCUGCAAAAUUUAUGGAGCAGAAACAGAGUGUCAAGAUUGAAGAGCCAUUGGUUUCAAGUGCUAAAUCGAACAUUAAUAGAAGAGGGGUCAGUUUAGGGCCAAGUGAGAUUUUUUCUGGAUCCAAAUCAAGGUUAUUGUUUGGAAAACAAGAGAUGAAAACUCCUGUUUCGACGCAGAAUCGGCGGAAAUCGUGUUUUUGGAAGCUUGAAGAGAUUGAUGAGUUAAAGGCAACUAAAGAGAGGGGGAAAAGUUUGAGUGUUAGUCCGAGAUCACGAAAAAAUGUGUCCAAAAUUCAAGUUCCUAAACAGGCUGUUACUACUGUGGGGUCUAGAAGGUCAGUGAAGAAAGAAGAUGGGGUUAUUGCUUCAAUUCAGCCAAAGAAUCUAUUCAAAGAUGGGGAAAGAUCUGUGCCUAAUAAGAAACCCUUGAAGCCCGGACGGGUGGUGGCUAGUAGGUAUAAUCAGAUUGGAACAAAUCAGUCUAAUGGGAAUCUAACUGCUAGCGAGGCUCGAAAGAGGUCUUUGCCGGAUAAUGAGAAGGAAGAUGUUAGUAAGAGGCGGGCGUCGCGAGGUAAUGGGGUGAGUCAGAGAACGGAGAGUGGUAGAGUGAAGAAGAAGUGGGAGAUUCCAAGUGAAGUAGUGGUAUACAAGGAUGAUGCUGAGGAGGAAUCUCCGCAGGCAGUUUCUGUAGUGACCGAUAUGUUGCCGAAUAUUAAGACUGUCAGAAGUGUUGCUGAGACUCCAAGGGACUCAGGGCCGGCAAAAAGAGUGGCUGAUUUGGCUGGGAGGAAAUCAUACUUUUUCCCCGUCGAGGAGACUGCACCAGGGGACUCUGUUUGCCAGGCUCUUAGUUUUGCAGAAGAGGAGGAUGGUGAGAACGAGUAAAUUAGGACUAAAGGGAAGUUUUUCUUCUUCUUUGUUGUCCACAUUUGAAUUGGUUAAGGUAUUUUUCAGCUUUGUUGUUGAUAAGCCAUAACUCUUGUUAUGGAGUAGUAAGGUUGUCUAUGGUUUGGUCUAAAUGGGUUGGGACUUCGUAAGUUUGUAGUGUAGUUUCAUUGGCCUUCUGAAUAUAUGCAAUAAUAUGAUAAGUUUUGUCUAUUGCUUUCUGUAAUGAUUCCAUCUUCAUCCAUGAAAAUGUGAUAUCUUAUCUUUCAUUCCUUCUCAAUGGCAUAGUUGUUUGAUCUAUCCUCAUAUUUUUGCUAGGCAAACCAUUACUUUUCUUAUACAUAUAUAGAAUAUGAGGAGUUCCUAGAAAGACCAGCUUCAUUAUUGCAUACUAGAGAAUAAUAUAAACUAUUGACAAGUUAAGUUUCUUGUUAAUUUUUGAUAUGAUAUCAUAGCUAAAAUAAUUUUAGAAAAUAAUAUAAAUUGUAUAUUCUAAUAUCAUCUAAUAUCUUAAAUUUUUCAUUGUAGAUCUUUAAAUUUUGGGAUAUUCAACAACUAUUGAUUGCAUUUCAUGUUACCUUUCCAGGGUCAAGAAAGAAGGUAGCUUUUUAUGAGCUGGAAAGUUAUAGUGCAUAUAGCCUUUCUGGAGAGAAAAAAAAGGAAUAGUUGAACUUCCUCUCCUGGAGAUACUAAAUGAAACUAUUUGCAAGCAAUUGCUAGAUUCUGAUUAGUAAAGAUGGUUUCAAUUCCUCUAGAUUCAGCAUUUUUUAAAGCCAAUGUUGCUGAGUUGAAAAAUCAAAUUCCCUUUAUUACUGAACAUUAGAAAUUGCUCGAAAGAACCUCGGAACGAUUUAGUUAUAGCUUUUUUGGAUUGUUUGCAAUGGCAGCAUUUUAGAUGCAUUGAUCUUACCACAUUUUUCUGCAAGAGAAGUCUAAUUGAACAAAUCUGGUAAUUUUGAUUAUAAGAGAGAUUAGUGAAAGUAUUAGACAAAUAUGACUUGUUGACGUCUAAUGUCUGAUGGAUGUGUUUACGGAUUAGAUAAACAAAAUAAAGCCUACAAAAAAGUGCAUACAUGUCAUGUAUAUAGUCUAAUAAAAACAAUCAUAAUUUCAGAUUUUAUCAUUGAAUGGAGUUGAAAUUUUACAAGUUCUAUUCUAUUAAGGGAUCGACCAGCUAUAACUAGCAAAGUCGGGAAUGUAUUCAAAGUAAGUCAUAAGAUGUUGUUUCUACUUUUUAAAAAUAUUUUUUUAUUUAAUUUUGGGUUUCAAAUAUUUAUUUUAUUGAACUUUGUAUUCUUCUUGUUACUCUAUCUAUACCUUUAUAUAAAUAAUUGAUGUGUUAUUUUUCCUAUCAUAAAAAUACCUUAGUUUCUAUCCGUCCUAUGAAUUGCCUCAACCUCAAUUUAUUAACAAAAAUUGUUCAUAAGCAUGAAUGAUCAAUUUAUGACUCGCUUAGGUUAGGUGUACAGUUCCUAUCAUGCAAAAUUCUGAGAUUAUUACAGCAUGGACAGGAGGCUGGACAAGCCGCCCUGGGUUUUCUCCCCACACUUUAAUCUUGGAUUUUACAUUGGUCUGCGUGUGGAUGCAGGCACAGUUUAGGGACGCGGCUCAAACAGUAUUUUACUAUUUUAUAAAAUUUUAUUUUUUUAUUUUUUUAUAUUUUUUAUACAAUAAUUUUAAAAAUAAAAAAGUAUUAUUUUUAUAUAUUUUCAAAUAAAAAAUAUUUUAAAAAAUAAUUUCCAUAAUCUUAAAAACCUCUUAAUUUCUGUAUAUGAAAGGUGGCUUAGGAAAACCCAAUUAGACAGCUGGUAACCAUUCAUGAUCAUGCAUUAAAGCAAUUAAUCAUGUACUGUUUUAAAUUAAGAGAAAAAACUGUUAUGUUAACAAGGAGAUUCUCUUCUGCAUUAAUGUUUUUUUUUUUUUUCUUUUGGAAGGAGAUCUUUUCUUUGAUGGGAAAAAGAUCUUUAUAUUUCACAAAUGUUAUCCUUUCCUAUUUUGAAUCCUUUUACACGUAAAUGUAAAAUCUGUACUGGCUAGUUGGAUCAAUCAAAAACCUGUUCGAUUUAAAAUCUAAAUCUAAAUCCAUUCGAGUUAAAAUAAAUAAAAAAGAAAAAAUUCAAUUAAUUUGAUUCGACUCGGUUAAAAUUCAUCUUUAAUUUCUUGACUUUUUUCUUGACUUUUUUUUUUAAAUAAUAUUAUUUUAAUUAACAAAACCCUGGAUUUAACCCGUGAUCUUGGUUUUCUCUGGACCAGGUUUUACAGCUAUGCCUUUGACAAGUUAUAAAUUAAAAGAUAAAAAGGAAAAGCUCCAGAAAUAUGUAAUAGUAGGAGUUAAUGCAGGUUCAACGCAUAAAGUUAGAGAUUUGCAACUUCUCGGGAAAUAGAGACCUGUCUCAAUUGCAGUUACUCUAUUUAACCCUGUCUUGCAUGUCAAGUUUCAUUCUCUCACAGUUUAAAAUUCAUGUUUCCAAUUUUAUUCCACAAUGUUCUCCCUAUAUAAACUUCUCUAGUUUCUGCCUUAGGGUUUGCUUCUAUUUUUCAAGGGAGAAAGAGAGAGUAGGGUUUUACAAUGAGAGGGUCUGCAUUCUUCCAGAGAGCCUUUAAAACUUUUCAAGAGCACCCUACUUUCUUUAAGCUGCUUAUUGUCUCCACCGUCAGGUUACAAAUCAUAACAUAUUUAUUUAUUUAUUUGGGUUUAUAAUUGUUUGUGUUACUGUUUUUUUCUUUUUUUGAGGAUUUAUAUGUUCUUGAAGCUUUUGACUAAUUUGUACAGGCAACACGGUUUUUCUUUCUUUAAAAAGUUUCUAAAAAGUGCGUUUCCAUCAUAAAAGCUGUCAGGCACCCUUAUAGAGGUUGCGUUUGGUUAAUGUCCAGGGAGAUAAGUGAUAGAGUGUGUGAGGUUGGACCCUUGAGACUAUCUUCGUGUCUCUUCUGUCUCAGGCUACCUUAAAUACAGUAAAAAAAUCACUGUCUUGAAAAUUAACAUGUUUAUCCUAACUAGCUAGUGACUGCAGAUCCAAAACUUUUGUUGGUGCAUCAAGAAAUGUAAGCAUCUUUUUGUUGUGAUGAUGUAUGUAAUAUACCAUAUGCAGUAUUCCAUGUGAGAACUUGGUAAUAAUGUUAUUUGUUGCUGUUGUUUUCAACUUAUAUACCUUAUUCUCGAAUUAUUGCAGUGGUGGAGGUCUGUUAACGUUUUCUGAUGCCAGUCCAUUCCAAGGAUUGAUCACAGAAUCAUCUCAGAAUGAAGGCAAGAAAAAGAAGGUGGUAGUUCUUGGAACUGGUUGGGCAGGCACAAGUUUUUUGAAAAACCUGAAGAGCUCUUCCUAUGAUGUUCAAGUCGUUUCUCCGAAUAACUUCUUCGCGUUCACUCCUUUGUUACCGAGUGUAACAAAUGGAACGGUGGAAGCUCGCAGCAUAGUAGAGCCAAUUCGCAAUAUUGUGAAAAAGGUCGGAGGCAAUAAUCACUGUUAAAUGUAAAAUGUACAAAGUGUUUAGUUGGUUUUUUGAAUUAGUGUUGCUGAGUUAUGUUUCUUAUUUUUUUCGUAAUAUUGCAGAAACCUUACAAUGUUGAGUUCAAGGAAGCUGAAUGUUAUGAGAUUGAUCCAGUAAAGAAGAAAGUUUAUUGUCGUUCUAACCAAUCCUCAACUUUGGAUGGAAUUGAGGAAUUCACAGUUGAUUAUGAUGUCUUGAUAUUAGCCAUGGGAGCUCGUGUAAAUACUUUCAACACCCCCGGUGUCGAGGAGCAUGCUCAUUUCCUGAAGGUAUGUUCUGAAUUAUGACCUUGAUUUGCUGUUUAACACCAUUUAAAGAAAGUUUGAAAUUAGCAGUGUCAACUAUAGCAAAAUCCAGGAAUUCUUUAAUACUCUAUCGAAUAGCCUGGGAAGGAAAUCCUAAAGCCACGACUUGAUCUCACCCUGCAGGAAGUUGGAGACGCGCAGAGGCUUCAUAAGUCAAUAAUUGACUGUUACGAGCGUGCAAGCCUUCCGAGUGUAAGCGAAGAAGAGAAGAAGCGGGUGAUGCAUUUUGUAGUUGUCGGAGGUGGUCCAACAGGUGUGGAGUAUGCUGCAGAGCUACAUGACUUGGCAUUUGAUGAUAUGGCAAAGCUAUAUCCCUCAGCUAAAGACUACCUGAAAAUAACCCUUCUCGAGGCUGGUGAUCACAUUUUGAACAUGUAAGUCAGAUCAGUUCUCUCUUAAUUUGUUGAGUUCUGAAGUGUGAUUAUGACUGGUAAUGACAAGUUUUUGAUUGAUUGAUUCUUGCAGGUUUGACAAACGAAUUACUACAUUUGCUACCGAGAAAUUCCAAAGAGAUGGCAUUGAUGUAAAGACAGGAUCAAUGGUUGUAAAAGUGUCUGAUAAGGAUAUUUCUACUAAGGAGAGAAAAACCGGUGAAAUUGUUUCUGUACCAUACGGAGUAGUCCUCUGGUCAACCGGCAUUGCUACUCGUCCUGUUGUCAGGGAUUUCAUGAAUCACAUUGGUCAGGUCUGUGGUUCCGCAACCAUGAGCAUCUUACUAUUUCACCUUCAUUUCUGAAAUUUUACUCGUGAAGGACUUUUCAACUAAACUAACCAUUGAGGAUUGUUGUUUGGGCACAGGCCAAAAGGCGUGUUCUGGCAACCGAUGAAUGGCUGAGGGUUGAAGGCUGCGAAGAUGUAUAUGCUCUAGGUGACUGUGCGACUAUAAAUCAACGCAAAGUCAUGGUAUGUGAAAGCAAACAUAUUCAAAAUCUCUGUAUUAUACACAUUGCGUGGUGUUUUCUGAUGAAGUUUUCAGCUGACUUGAUACAAUAAUGCCCUUUGAUUUAACAGGAAGAUAUAGCAGCAAUAUUCAGGAAGGCAGACAAGACCAACACUGGUACUCUAGAUCUUAAAGACUUCAAAGAAGUUGUUGGCCACAUCUGUGAAAGAUACCCUCAAGUUGAGCUUUACUUGCAAAAGAACAAACUGAAAAGUUUUGAUGCUUUACUGAAGAAUGCUCAAGGAGAUGACAAGAAACAAAUAGAUAUCGAAACAUUUAAGAAGGCUCUAUCCGAAGUUGAUUCUCAAAUGAAAAGUCUCCCACCAACUGCUCAGGUAAAACAUAUUUUAGUUUUCACUUUUCUGUUGACAUUAUUCAACCAUCUAUAGUACUCAUUUACAUUAUCGAUUUUCAUUUUCUUUUUAUUUUAUAGGUGGCUGCACAACAAGGAGAAUACCUUGCAAAAUGUUUCAACAGGAAGGAGCUUUGUGAAAAGAAUCCUGAGGGUCCUCUGAGGUUCAGGGCUUCAGGCCGACACCAGUUUCAUCCCUUCAGGUACAAUAUGUUCUCCCACCAUUUUUCUUUCUUUUCAUUCUUCAUAUGCUAUGAAUUACUUAUUGCAUGGAAUUUAUCUAUUGCAUAGAGGAGAUCUAGGAAAGUAAUUUUUUUUUAUAAAUGGAGUAGUUGCUAAACGAUUGGAAAUGCAAUAUAGAAUACUGAAGCUUUAGUUAUGAAAUUUCAGGUACAGGCACUUUGGACAAUUUGCUCCAUUGGGUGGGGAGCAGACUGCAGCUCAGCUUCCAGGAGAUUGGGUUUCGAUCGGACAUAGCGCUCAGUGGCUCUGGUACUCGGUUUAUGCAAGGUAAUGAUUCCCUCAUAUUCACAUAUAUUUGAUUUAUAUCAGAAUAUUUUCAUCACUUGACAGUUCUCCUCCUCUACUUACAGCAAGCUGGUUAGCUGGCGUACAAGAAUGUUGGUGAUAUCUGACUGGUCGAGAAAGUUUAUAUUUGGAAGGGACUCCAGCAAAAUCUGAGACAGCUCAGGACAGUAUUUUCUACAACUAUUCAUGUCAUAUGACAUUUAGACAACAGAUUUUGUUCCAAUUUUGUUUCAUUCCUCUACUUUAUUUAGCCUUGUUUCUUCCAAUACAUAGGGUGUUGGUUCUACAAUAAUCAGUACUACGAAAAGGCUUUACAAAAAGUUACAAGCUCACAUUUUGAAGAAAACAACAAUAUUUUGAUGCAACAGAAUGAAACAGCAUGAAUUGAUAAGAAAUUCAUAAGAAUGACUUGGUUAAAACGGAAUCAGGAUUCGCCAAUAUUCCUAAACAAUCCGAAACUAAGGGCAAGUAUUGUACCCAAAAGUUUUUUCCAGCAAAAGUUUUUCUGCUGAGAAAUUUUUUAAUGCAACAGUCAGGAAAAACACUGACAAACAAAGAUAAUUAUGUGAGGUUUUGAACUGAAGGUGGAAUAAAAUCUGCUAAGAAUUGCCUGAGCAUCGGUACUUGUUUUGCAAGAUUCAUGCUCCAGAACUCUUAGAUUCGACUUGAAUCUCUUCCGAAUAUUGACCUUCUAAGCCAGUCAGAUACCACUGACACUCUUGUGCGCCAGCUGACUAGCUUACUGUAAGUAAAAAAAAUAAAAUCAGAUGAUGGCAUUAUGUUAACGUUAGAGCAGGUAUUUCUGAAUUUGAAUUAGAGUAUUACCUUGUAUACACCGCGUACCAGAGCCACUGAGUACUAUAGCCAACGGAAAUCCAAUCUCCCGGAAGUUGAGCUGCAGUUUGCUCUCCUCCCAAUGGAGCAAAUUGUCCAAAAUGCUUAUACCUUGCAUUGGAUAAUCGACAGGUGUAUCGGCAUUCUCUCUAAAACUCUUCAUUACAAUAUCAACAAACAUAAACAAAUGGUGUCUUUGACAGAGAAGACAGUGUCCUUGUUAUGGAACCUUAAAUUAGUAUCAAGUAAACAAGACUUUUGCACAUGUUCAUCUGGAUAUUAAAGCUUCUAUGAAAAAGGCAUUGGCAAGAAGAACUGAUUCAUGAAGUGCAUUACUUCUUAAAUUUUCUUUUUGAGAUGGACUACCUUUUAAAUUUCCCUGUAUAUUUCAUAGAAAAUAGAGAAAGGAAGAACAUCUAUUUUGUACCUAAAUGGACGAAACCGAUGGCAGCCUGUUCCCCUAAAUCUCAUAGGACCUUCAGGAUACUUUUCACAUUGCUCCAUACGAUUAAAACAGCUUGCAAGGUAUUCACCUUGCUGUGCUGCAACCUUAAAAUUUCAAAAAAGAAAAAAACAGUUACUCGAAAGAGCAUUGUUAGCUGGUUGAAAGAAAGAAUGAAAGAAGGGGAAAAUUUAAAAUUACUUGAGCUGUUGCAGGAAGAUUUUUCAUUUGAGAAUCUACUUCAUGUAGAGCAUUCUUGAAUGUUUCAAUAUCUAUGAGUUUGUUGUCACUCCCUUGAGCACUUUUUAGUAAAGCAUCAAAGGUUUUCAAUUUUUUCUUUUCCAUAUAAAUCUGCACUUGAGGAUACCUUUCGCUGAUGUGGUCAACAACAUCUUUAAAAUCUUUGAGAUCUAAGGUACUAGAGUUAUUCUUGUCUGCCUUGCUGAAUAUUACUGCUAUAUCUUCCUGAUAGUGAAAUGGAGAGAAAAAUCAAAUUUAUUGAGCUCGUCGGCGGAUAACCUACAAUAGCAUACUGACAGGGCACCUUCUAACAAGAAACAAGACACGCCAAAGCUGGCCUAAGGAUACACUUACUGUUAGAACAAAGAGAAUAGUAUGAAAAUUGUCGAUAGAAAGAGCUAAGUGCUGGUUAGAACAUAUAAAAACUGAAAGGCCUCGUAUCCUAUAGCAAAGAGAUGUUAUAUGUCUAAAUUCAUUUACCAUGACUUUCCGUUGAUUUAUCGUGGCACAGUCACCAAGAGCAUACACACCAUCACACCCUUCAACCCUCAGCCACUCAUCAGUAGCUAAAACACGCCUGUUACCCUGAGAUCAAAGAAAUUUAACCCUAAUGGAAUAUCCUAUCACGCAUUGCUGUGAAGUGUAGGGAAAUAUAGAGAUGUAAAUGGUUGUGAGGAAACAGACCUGACCAAUUUGCUUCAUAAAAUCCAUUAUGACAGGACGAGUUGCAAUGCCGGUUGACCAGAGAACCAUUCCAUAAGGUAUUGAAACAGUCUGGCCAGUUUUUAUCUCUUUAGUAGAGAUAUGCUUGUCGGAAACUUUUAUGACCAUUGAACCUGUCUUUACAUCAAUUCCAUCUCUUUCGAACUUCUCAGUAGCAAAUUUAGUAAUUCGUCUGUCAAACCUGUAAGAAACAAGUAAGCAAAGGCUCAGAUGUUAAUUGAUUCUUAAUUUCAAAAAUCACCAUUUGACAGUUGAACCUUCUUUUCUUGGAAAUGAUAUAUUCAGAGAUGUACAACACCUCUUUAUCUGCAUUUCGAGUACCAAACUAAUCGAUUCCGGUCGUCUGUGUGUUUAGAUUUCAUUAGCUAUGAUAUAGUGUACAAAAAUGCUGCACGUAAUUAUUCCUGCAGGAAUAAUUACCAACUUUCAACAAAAUGGAGUUGGAUUGAAACCUACAACAAAAGGCCAGUACCAGAUUCCUGCAGGAAAUGGUGUAUCCAUCUUCCAUAUUCAAGGACCUUUAAACAGGUAUAAACAAAGCGAGAGAUAUUACCAGCUGAUAGUGAUUGUCAUUGAAAAACGCAGAAAACAUAACCACAACCAUGCUUUAGACCCUACCAGACUAAUUUCUUACUGAAGCGAUCUGCCUUACAUGUUCAAAAUGUGUAUUCAAGGACCAUUAAACAGGUAUAAACACAGCAAGAGAUAUUACCAACUGACUGUGAUUGUCAUUGACAAACUUAGAAAAUAUAACCAUAAUCAUGCCUUAGACCCUACCAGACUAAUUUCUUUCUGAAGUGAUCUGCCUUACAUGUUCAAAAUGUGAUCGCCUGCCUCAAGAAGUGUAAUUCUCAGGUAAUCUUUGAUUGAAGGAUAUAGUUUAGCUAAAUCAUCAUGUGCAAAGUCAUGAAGUUCUGCAGCAUAUUCCACACCAGAUGGACCACCACCGACAACUACAAAAUGCAUAAUGCGCUUCCUCUCUUCUUCGCUUAUACUCGGAAGGCUUGCACGUUCAUAACAAUCAAUUAUUGACCUACGGAUGUUCUGAGCAUCUUCAAUUUCCUGCAUGAUGAACUCGGCAAGUUUAGGUUAGGACAAAAUAAUUUUAAUAAUCUAAUUGUUUUAACAUAAUGCUCAGAAGGUGAAAAACUCUACGCAUAGCUACCAAGUCAUAUGAACUCAUCAUGAUAUUCAAUUUACCUUCAAGAAGUGUGCAUGUUCCUCAACACCUGGGGUGUUGAAAGUAUUUGAUUUAGCUCCCAUGGCCACAAUCAAGACAUCAUAAUCCAUUGUGAAUUCUUCAUUCCCUCCUAAAGUGUUGCCUUGAUCAGUACUUCUGCAAUAAAUUUUCUUCUGUACUGGAUCAAUCUUGUAACAUUCAGCCUCCUUGAAUCCAACUCCAAAUGGUUUCUGCAAGAUACAGAAAUAACUUUAUGUACAUGUUGUUUUCCAUUUUCCAACACGGAUGCAGCUCCAAAGCAGCAUUUAAGCCAUGUUAAUAAGAUCAUCACAAUUCUUAUAAUUGUCCCUCUUCGACUCUUUCAUGCUGCGAAUUCUAGACAUUAAAAGAAGUCUUCAACAUUAAUAUUUCACCUUAAUUCAUGUAAUUCUGAAUGAAGUAUAUGCACAAGAUUCCAAUGCAACAGCAAGUACACUACUCUAUGAUUUACAUUUUCAUACCUUCCUUGCAAUAUUGCGAAUUGGUUCAACAAUGCUGCGUCCUUCGACUGUUCCAUUUGUAACACUUGGUAACAAUGGAGUAAACGCAAAAUAGUUACGCGGUGAAACUAUAUGAACAUCAUAUGAAGAACUCUUUAAGUUUUUCAAAAAACUGACGCCAGCCCAACCAGUUCCAAGUACCACCACCUUCUUUUUCUUGCCAUCUCCUUCAGCAUAACUUUGGAAUGCGUUGGCAUCAGAAAAUGCCAGUAGACCUCCACCACUAGCAAGUCAAAUUGAAGAACACAUGAACAAAGAGUCAUUAUUUAUGCAAAGUCUCCAAAUUAUUGUUAAAAGACCAUGAAGCAUGCGAAAGAAAAAGGAGAAGAAAAACCAUAUUCAUUCUGUAACAUACUCUACAGUAAGAUUCAUCCAUAAAUUCCAUCUAUUUUCCUAGCUUACUUCUUUUAUGUUAAUUAUGCAAUGUUCUGCUCCUUUUCUUUUCUUUCCAUUACUUUUCCAGCCAUAGAUAUACCUUGUUAAGGGAACAACCACAUACUACGGUCAAUAACUCUUCAGAAACACAUCUCUUAGAUCAAAACUCAACAAGAUCAAAGAGAACAAAACAAAAACAGAUAGGAAAAAAAGUUAAGAAAAGGUAGCCCAGAUGAUAACCUGACAGAGGAGAUGACAAGAAGCUUAGACACUGUAGAGUGAUCAUUAAAAGCUCGAAGAGCUCUCUCAAAGAAUGUAUAGUACCCUCUCAUUCGAAAAACCAAACUUUUGUUGCCUCUCUAAACAAAAACUAAUGAAACAGUUCUUUCAAUCUUGUUUUUCUGUUGCAAAGGAAGAAUAAAUCCAAGAGCAGAUUCUACUGAGAAGUUUACGGAUCAAAAAUUUGGAGCUAUUAAUACGUGGUGUUUCUGUGUCACUGUCACAGAACCAUACCUUCCUCUAGCAAACAGUUUGGUCCCCUUUUUUUAAGAGGGGUUACAUAUGAUUUUAAUAUUUUUUUUUUUGUUUUUCAUCUCGGUUGAUUCUAGGAAAUCCUCGUACCAACUUAGAUGUAAAAAAUUUAUGUCUCUGUUUCCGCAAAAAUUAUCUAUCAUGAAACUAGAAAAUGGAAAAGAAAAUGUAUUAACCCAUCACAAUUUUGGAAUAGAACCUUUAUCCACAAAGGGAGGAGCAUACAUGCCAACCACAUGGUAUUUAAUAUUAUUGACAAAAAUGUUACUAAUAUUUAAGUUAUGGUAAUUUUAGAAAGAAAAAAUUGUUAAUUUUGAUACUCUUUUAGCAAGAAAACAGGAUCUCCUUGUUGCAAGCCUUUUUAAUUUUAGACACAUUAUAUACCACCAUGGCCUCUCCACAGAGGAAUUACCAGCAGGCAUUUGACCAGAUCCUAAUUUAUCUCAUUUCAAGAUGCCGAGCACUCUUUUUAAUAUACAUUAGAUGAGUAAUAUUAUUUCCCAUAUCAUCCCCCUAAGAUCUCACCCCAUGAUCCCAUAUAUCCAGCCCUUAAUUUUUAUUUCUAUUUUCUCAAGGUGAUUUCAAAGGUGUUCUAAAAACCAUCCCGAUCUAAAGGCUGAGUUUUUUAAAAAAAAUUCGAGUCAGAAGGGUAAUUCACAAUUUUUAAAAAAAAAAUUUGUUCAAAACAAUAUUAUUUAAAAGAACAGUAAAACAUCAUUUAAAAAAAUUACUUAAUCUCGCUCACAAGAUAAAACUACAUGCCUGGUUUACAAACCUGGCUGGGUCCAAGCCUCGGUGGUUUCAGAACACUAAGUAAUUCAAAGAUAUAGAAGCAGCCUUGGACAAGAAACAUGAUACCACAAAACUGAAGACAUCAAGAAAAUACAAGUCUAAGCCUUGUAAAGUUUGGAACUUGCGGGAGCAUGGGCAUUUUUUCAUGGUCGUGUAAAUCAACGAAAGACUUCCAUACAAGAAAGAAUACUUGUCAGCCAUAUACAGCACCAGGUUACCAAGAAAUCUGUUGCUCUCCAUGCUAUUUCACACCUGGUAAACUAGUAAAUGGUAACAGUGUAUCAACUUUACAUACCAAAGGAGAGUACAUAGACACAAAUUUGAAAGGGAAAAAAGGAAAUCAUAUAUAUUUAUGCACGGCAGGUGGAAAUGCUGCGAUUGAGUUGUGGGAAAACCAGUGACUUUGUGAUAGUUUAUAGAAGACGUCAUUUGUUGUCUCAAAUACGGCUUGAAUCUCUUCCAAAAACGAAUCUCCGAGUCCAAUCAGAUACCAACAGCACCCUUGUUCGCCAGCUCACUUGUUUGCUGAAUGAAAGAAAAGGUUACAGUCAAAUUCAUGAAUGUGGAGACUAAAUGCUCACUCAAAGAGCUAGCAAAUCUUGAACUCUAAAAGUAGCUGAUAAUCACCUGGCAUAUACAGAAUACCAGAGCCACUGUGUGCUGCGACCAAUGGAAACCCAGUCUCCAGGCAGUUCAGCGGCAGCCUGCUCUCCUCCCAAAGGAGCAAACUGCCCAAGAUGCUUGUACCUUGCAUUCCAAAAUGUCAGCAUCUUGGAAGUUAGAAACAUGAAGAUGGAAAGGAGGCUUCAUACAAGUAUAACAAAAACUGGUUCAUAAUGUUCUUAUAUAGAUAUUAUAACAGUUCAAUAGGAAAAAAGAUGAGCACUUCAAAGACAGAUAGCAUACCGAAAUGGAACGAAUGCAUGACGCCCAGAACCUACAAAACGCCGAGGACCUUCAGGAUUAUCUUUGCAGUGUUCUCUACGAUUGAAACACCUAGAAAGAUAAGCACCUUGUUGAGCAGCAACCUGAAAAAAAAAGGUAUGUACAGAAAUUCUUGUAUCAUAUUUUGAAGAGAGGGAAAAAAAAAGUAAGACUGGCAUCAAAACGUACAAUAGUAGAUGCAAGAAAAAUACCUGUGCAGUUGCAGGCAGGCUUUUGGCCUGUGAAUCCACUUGAGCAAGGGCUAGUUUAAAACCUUCAAUAUCAACUUCUUUUAUGUCUUUUCCCUCGGGAUCUUUCAUCAAAUCUUGCACAUCUCUCAGACGCAUGUUCUUCAAAUAGAGUUCCAGUUGGGGAUACCUUACGAGGAUAUCAUCUACCACAUCUUGGAAUUCUUGAACAGUCAAGGUACCAGAAUUGUCUUUGUCUGCAGCUUUAAAUAUGGAUGCAAUAUCCUCCUAAAGCACAAUGGCAUUGCAUCAUAUUCAAAUCUUGUCCAAAAUUUCACAAAUUUAUACAAUUAUAUAAAAACCAAGAAUUUGAAGCAAACAUGAAAUGGAUGAGGAAAUAAAAAGGUAAAUGAAUUGAUAGUGAAGACCAAAAAACAAAGCUGAUAAAGGCAUUCAGUUUGUCCAUGAAAGGUGAUUCAAGUAUUUCAAUGUCUCUUUAAAAAUGAGAAGUAUUAAAAACAUUGGCACGCCUCCCUUAUUCAGCAACAAAACACCAGUAUUCAAUAAUUAACGUGAUCUACAUAUGGUAUUCUAAUGCAAAGGCUUAUUUGGGAGUCCAACAGUUAAUUUGAUUGAUCACAAUUCUGUAAGUUCCAUUUACUAAAGAAGUUCCCAAGGAAUUCAUUAGAGGAAUGUUUCCAAUAAAAAUUGUUUGUUCUUGCAUAUCCCUAUUGUUUUUCCAAAUUAAUCCCACAGAUACAUAUAAUUCAAAAGAUAUGUGAGUGAAUAUACAGCAUCUCUUUCUGGAACAUGUAAUAUCAUAAAAAAUAGUAGAAAAAAAGUUCAGUGCACAAACUUCAUAAAGAGACUCAACAUUCCAGCAAAAGAAUUGCAUAUAUUGGAGAUCAGAGAAGCACAACUUGUUGCUAUCUCUGCUUAUUUUGUGUAUUUCAAAGAAGCAAAGGUCUCUUGUUUAUAUAAACAUGCGCACCUAAUCCUAACAUUUUGCCAUCUGCACUCUAUUCUGAUGCAAGUUUUCCAUGAUUUAGGUUAUCAAACUCAAUUAACAGAAAAAACAAAGAACAAAUCCCAGGAUGUAUAGGCUGAAUCUAAAACUAUUAAAGCAUUUCACGAUGCAAAAUGUCCCCAAGAUAAAUAAACUAGGCAUCUCUUAAGAAUUAAAUUGACAGGCUAAAGGAUUCACCAACCAUGAUCUUCCGCUGAUCUAUUGUGGCGCAAUCACCAAGUGCAUAUACAUUUUCACAUUCCUUUACUCGCAGCCAUUCAUUAGUUGCAAGAACACGUCUGUUAGCCUGCAUAUGAAACAAAGUUUAAAGUGUAAUUAAUAGAGUAAGAACAACCAUGUAGUCUGACAACUCUGAAAAUCUCAAAAUAACAGCAUGAGCUUGAUGCCACUCUACAUACUUAAAAACUUGGAUCUUAAGUGACUCGGUAGAAUAACCUUCAUUCAUAAGCGAGCAUUGUCAUAAUAGAGUUAGAAUCUGCUAUAUGCAACGAACCUGCCCAAUUUGCUCCAUGAAGUCCUUCACAACUGGGCGAGUGCUGAUACCAGUAGACCAUACUACCAAUCCAUGUGGUAUAGAUGUAACCUCACCCUUGGAUUUGACCUUCAUGGUAAUUUCUUUAUCAGAAACACUGAGAACUCUACAUCCUGUCUGAACUUCAAUACAAUCUCUUUGAAACUUCUUCUCAGCAAAUGUACUAAUUCUCUCAUCAAACCUACAAAGGCAGAGUAUAGUAGCUGCUUAGUUUUCAAAUUUUCUUCUUGCCCAUUUGCUGAGAUGCAUUUUAUAAGCAAAGAUGAAGCCAUCAUAUCAGCAAUAAACAUACUUCUUUAUAAGGAACAUGAGGCCAAUUAUAUGCAGUAAUAGUUCCAGUGGCACAAUGAUGAUGAAUAUGAGAACAUCUCACCAGAACUGAUAGUUUGGCAUUCCAGUGACUUGUGCUCAGAAGCAUUAUAAAUGUAGAUUGUGAAAGCUAAAACCUUACAUGUUUAAAAUAUGAUCUCCAGACUGGAUUAAGGUUAUUUUCACUAGAUCUUUAACCAUAGGAUAGACAUUGACUAAAUCUUCCUGGAUAAAGUCAUGCAGCUCAGCAGCAAACUCCACUCCAGUGGGACCCCCUCCAACAACUACAAAAUGAAGGUUAGUUCUUCGCUCUUCUUCAGUCAGGCCAGGGAUGGAAGCCUUUUCAAAACAAUCAAUCACACUUCUGCGGAGCUUCUGUGCAUCCUCCAAUUCCUGAAAAGGUCAGUUUCUCCCUUUAUAGAAAGAAAAGCCCAAAACCUCGUGGAAGAUUGCUGAGUAGUAGAUAUUAUACGAGGAUUACAAUAUUACCUAACUUCACCCUAUAUAAUUAAAAUGACCCUACCUUCAGAAAAUGGCAGUUCUCCAUGACACCAGGGGUGUUAAAAGUGUUUACUUGGGCUCCUAUCGCUACCACCAAGUAGUCAUAUUCCAGGGAAAAAUCUUCAGCACCAAUCACGUUGUUCUCAAAAUGAGACUUACAGAAAACCUUGUUUUUUGCAGCAUCAAUCUUGACACAUUCUGCCUCGAAAAAUUGAAUUUCACCAUUUCUCUAUCAAAAUAAAAUGGAAAUUUUAUAAGAAAAUAAACAUGAAAACAUAGUGAUCUGUACAAACUGCAGUCAUAUGUUUAUAUUCAUGAAUGUGAGUAUGAGGUAUUUUUGUGUGAGUGUGUGCACCCAUGAAAUCGCUCAAAAUUUAUCACAUGAUUAAAUAUGGGUUCUUGUUAUCUUCCUUUACCUUCUUUAUAAUAUUCCUCACUGGCUCUACAAUGCUCCGAGCUUCAACAGUACCACAGGUCACACUAGGCAACAGAGGGGUGAAAGCAAAAUAAUUGCGGGGUGAAACAACCUGAACGUCAUAUGAAGAAAUAUCCAGAUCUUUAAGGAAACUAGUACCCGCCCACCCUGUUCCCAGAACCACCACUCUCUUCUUCUUACACUCAUUCUGAUUAAGCUCAGCAGCAGGCGCAGCUGUUUCUGAUUGCGAAUCAGCAUAUGCCACUAGACCUCCACUACUGUAAUAGACCUCAAGAUAGCAGACAUAUUUAUUAGAGAAUGACUGGUAGAAUUCGUGAAAUUGUAAGUUCAUAGUUUAUGCAAAAUCUAUGUGGAUUAAAGCAAAAGAAAAAACUUGUAAUGAAUCCAGAAAAUUAUCUUUUCAAGGACCUUAACUGCUAGUCUCCUGCUUUAUAAUAGGUAAAGAAAAUGAUAAGCUAUUCGGAGAACUAGGUUCAAACAUGGUAGACGUCAUUCAACUAGAAUGAGGCCAAGUUCAAAGCAAAAAACAAAUCAACUAUAAACAAUGGCAUUUCACUAGUAUAAGAUUGUUCAACCUAAUUGGACAAUAUCAUUUAUCCUAUAUGUGUGUGUGUGUGCGCGCGUGUGUGUCGAAAAAUUGACAAAUCAUAUUGUUAGCUUUCACUUGGUGCCGUAUUCUGUUAAAAUCAUUUGUUAAGGGCACCAUUGGGCAUCCUAAAUGCUACAUUUUGUGAAAUGUAGCUACUGAUACCAUGGAAGCACUCAAUUCCGGGAAUGUAGCAUUUUGCAAAUCUAGUUCCAAAACUCUGUAAAAACAUGAUACAUUGCUAUCAAUUCAACAUAUAAAGCGAAUUCUCACACAUAAAUAUUCAGUCAAGUUUGAUGUUUCAAACCCAUUGACUUCCUUUCACAUUACAACAUCAUGAAUUUCACUUGCUUCAGAAGGGCAAAGGUCACAAAUUAUACUAAUGCAUCUAAAAUUUUCCAUUUUGAUCGAUAAACCCCACAUCAAGCUCCUUCCUUGGUUCCUGUCACACUAAAAAACCUCACUAAUCAAAUCCAGAAAAAAAAGUCAACUAUCAAAUAAAUAACUUACAUUGACAUCAAGAAACUACAUUCAACAACAACAUAGCUAUGUUAAGAUCAUAAAUCAAAAGGGACAAAAAAGAUUGAUCUUUAGAAAAUCAAACCCGUUAAAAGAAGGAGAAAUUCAAAGAUUCGAGACCCUUUUGUUUGCUAAGUAAUCUAGUUUUCUUUAAGAAAAAAGAAUGAACCCAAAUUGCAAUUUUUUUCCCUUUUUAUAAAAGAUAUAAACUUUAUGCUUUUUCUCAGCAACCAAAAAGACAAACAGUGUUCCUUUCACACAUUCCAAGUCAACACCUUGAAAGGAUCUGUCUGUUUAAUAAAAGCUACUAAAAUAACUGAAGAGAUCUUUAAAAAUUCACGUUUUUUAACUUUUAUUUGAAGAAAGUAAAGGUGAAGAAACGAAACACUAGAAAAAAAAGUACAUAACCAACCUGAGAGUGAAGAGAACAAGAAGCUUAGAGGAAGCAGGAUUGCCAUGGAGAGCUCUUGAAGCUCUGUUGAUGAAGGACAUAAUCGUCAUUUCCUGAAAAAUAUCUCAAAUUCAAGAGGGUCUUGACUCUUGAUAAAGAAGAGAGCUGCCUCUCAGACACGGCACUGAAUAGUGCCUGCUAAUUAUCCGUAGAGAGUGAUUGGGAGACAAAGACAAAUGCAACCACUUGGCCUUAUGCAAUGAUAGCAUAACACGUGUACUUUUUUUUUCCGCACACCUUCUAAAAAGAUGGAGGGAAUAUGGGUAUUACUUGUGAAGAAAUUAAAAAUUUCACGAUCCUUUUUUUUUUUUUCCUUUUUGUUUCAGCUUUUUUUCUUUAGGUAUGAUCAAGAUUAACUUCUUAUAUAUGAUUUUAUUACUUUGUUAUUGUUUAGAAAUAGAGGAUACGAAAAUAGUAAUAUAAAAAAUACGCGUUUCUUUAUAUUUUAUAUUUUAAAAAUAUUUGAAUUCACUCAAAAAUUAUUUUAAAUACAAACGUAUUUUUUUCUCUUCUAUUAUUUUUAUUAUGAAUUAUUAACCAAGUGCAAAAUAUGGACUUCAUAUUACUCAAAUACAAGAAUAAUUCCUAUAAACAUAUACCAUAAUAUUUAUAUUUUCAAACUCCUGCAUUAUCUUCGAUUUCAACCAGAAAUAAUAUAUGAAUAACCAAAUUUAUUUUUAGUUGCAAUUCUAAGUCAAGCUUUGAGAAAAUAAAAGGGGAGACUUUUUGAACUUUCAUGAUCAAACCCAGUUAGAAUAAUAAAAGUGAAGAUUUUUUAUGGUGUUUGGUAUUAGGUUUAAUUAUAUUAUAUAUAUAUAUAUAUAUAUAUAUAUGUAUGAAUGUAUGUAUAUAUAUAUAAAGGUGUUUGUUUUAUUUAAAAAAAUCAAAUUGUAUUUUGUAUAAAAAGUAAUCAAUUAUAACUCUUAAUUUAUCAGGUCAACUUGUUCGUAAUCACAAAUAUAUAUUAAAUUCUACUUAUUAAACAACAAUUAUAACUUAUCCAAUAAGCAGUAGCACCACUUGAGAAGGCCAUCAGAAACAAUUGGUUAUUAAACGUUUAGCUAGUCAAAGUCACAUAUUACAGAUUCAUAUAAUUAAUUUAAUUUGACUUGAAUUAUUAAUUUUUUUAAAAAAAAUUAAAAUUAUAUUAUUUUAAAAACAAUUCUUGAUAAUUUACUAAAUCACAAAUUGAUUCACCAAGUUAAUUAGAUUAAACCAUAUAAUAUUUUAAAAUAUAUCAACCCCAAGCUAAAAGAUAAGUCUCGAAUUAAUCUAUUAGACUAAUUGUCUAUUUAGUGUGAUUGUAACUUUUAAAAAUAUUUUUCAUUCAAAAAUAUAUUAAAAUAAUAUUUUUUUUUAAAAUUAUUUUUGAUAUCAGCGCAUCAAAAUGAUUUAAAAAUACUAAAAAAAUAUUAAUUUAAAAUAAAUAAAUUUUAAUUUUUUUUAAAAAAAAUUUAGAACAUAAAAAGAAACAAGACAUAAGUCAAGUUGAAUAAUCAUAGUGUGUGAUACUUAAUUUUAACCAAAAAAACAGAAAAAUACAUUGAAAAAUCUUAUGUUUUGCAGUAAAUAGUUUAAAAUCCGUAAACUAAUAAAGAAUAAUGAUAGAUUACCACAAGCAAAUAUACUGUAUUUUUUUUAUCAGGGUAAAAAUAAAUGGAUCAUUAGUCGUUAAGACACACAAUCAUCAUUGGAUCAACGUGUUGCACGUUGCCACGCGGCGUGAGUUUGGCAUUUUUUAUUAUUUUUUUGUUAAUUUUGGUUUUUUUCUGAAAUUUUUUUAAAAAUAUAGAAUUCUGACCGAAUAUUAUCCAGUGAACACAGCCAAAUCCUUAUCUUGUCUGAAUGGCCGACAAAAACAUACGAGGGUACAGAGAAAAACAAAUACUUAAAGAGGCAUAAUCCUCGUAACAAAACCUUUAACGGAGGAAGGAAUAAAAGGAGACAAAAGGAAGUAAUUUUAAAUUCAAUGCAAAUUAACUUGGUUGAUAUAGACAGUUUAAAAUUAAAUUAAAUGAUAAUUUACUAGAUUAAUCUAAUGAGUUAAGACUGAUCAUUAGUUAAAGUUUAGUUUGACUUUUUUAAAAAAAAAUUAUCAAUUUAAUUCUUUUUUAAAACAGUAUCAAAACAAUAUUAUUUUAAAUUUAUUAAAAUAAACUCAAAUUAAUUUAUCCAACUUAUAACUAUGAUUUUUUACCGUACCAUGGAGCCAUACUAGAUUUAAUAAAUUAAGAUAGGAAUGCAAGCAAAUAUUAUAAGUAUAUUUGUAGGGGGUGGGAAUCCACUAUGCAAAAUGAAUUGUGGAUCCCUUACAUGGCAUAAUAGGUGGAUUGUUCACAAUGCCUUUUUCUCCCCUUUGGCCCUUACUAGACCAAAUUGCAGGUCAAUUUGUUGGGGGAAGGGUGACAUUGAAUUACGGGGGAUUAAAGUGAAAAUGAUGGUGGGGUAAAUGACUUUGACAUAGUCUGGGUGAAAUAUUUAUUAAACUUUCCAGACUUUUCGAAUUAUAAAUUUUGGUCCCUUAGCUUCUAAAAUAUGAGGGAAAAUUAAUUUUGGUUCAAAAUUUUAUUUUCGCUAUUUUUUGGUUUCUAGUUUUAGAAAGAGAUGACAGAAAGUGACUGGAAUCCAGCACUAUAAAAAAAAAAAAAUUAUUUUGAUAACUACUUUGACCAAAAAGCAGGUCAAUAAUUAUGUCAAAUUAUUUCAUUUGACGAAGACAUUUCACAUCAAGUAUUUUUUUAUUACCUUGAAAUUGCUUAGAAAAACAUAUAUGAGUUCGAUAAGGGUUUUAGUUUCGGAUUGAUUUUCGAGUUUUCGAAUGUUUUUUUUGUUGUUUUUUCAAGCCAUAAACAUAUUUAUCAAAUUGCCUAAUAUGUUUUAUAUGUGUUUUUGGUCAAAAUGAGUGUUUUUUUUUCAAGAACUUUUGCUUUAAUUUUUCGACCACCAUAGUGGUUGAAAACUGAGCAAUAUCAAAUAACAUGUUAUGUGUCUUAUAUUUUUUUCGAAACAUUUUGGAACGGACAACAUGCCCCACCUAAAAUAUAUAAAAACAAUCAAGGGUUCAAGCACAUGAGUCUACCCUAGCCGGCCCGCGCACGGGCCCUUACUCUAUGGGCCAAGCAUGCUAGCCUAGCAUUUUUCUUUUUUAAUUUUUUUUCUAAAUUAAUGUCUUUUUAUAUGUUUUUUUUUAAAAAUAAUUUUUAAAUUUAUAUUUAAAUUAAAACCCCUUUGCUCUUUUAUCUUGUUUAUUUAGUCUCUUUUAAAUAAUGAUUAUUUUUUAUUAUUAUUUUAUAUGCAUUUAUUUUUUUAAGAGAUUAUUCUAAUUCACCUAUAUUUUUUUUAUUUUUUUAUAUAAAUGAGAGUUAUUUUCAAAUAUAAAAAAUAUUUAUUUUUGGAUAAUAUUUUUAAUAUGUUUACCUUACAUGGUACUUUUAUUUUUUUUAUUUAAUCAAUUACAUGGGUGUCUAUUAUUAUUGUCAUUUGAUUAAAUAGAAAAAAAUUAAAAAGUUGGGAGGUCAAAUAUUUUGGUAUAUAUCUGCCACUUAAUUUUUCAUCUUUAUUUAUUAUUAAUGGCUUUUUAUUUAUUUACUUGCUAAUACAUUGAGUUCCAUAUUUAUUUGAUUAGAUGUAUAUAUGAAUUUUUUGAUUCUCACUUGGGAUUUUUUUUAUAAAAAGAAAAACGCUUAAAAAAGUCUAUAUAUUUAUAUAUUUUUUAAAAAAUUAAUCUAUAAUAAAACACCGGUAAAAUAACUAGCAAAAUUAAGGGAGUUGCUACAACCUAGUAAAUUAUUAUGUUAGAUUGAUAGGCAGAGUGGAGUGAUGAGAAGGCAAAAAACAUAUAAUUAAUUCAUCUAUUUAUGUGGUUAAUAAAAUAGUGAGAGUAUGAGAAUAAAUCCAUAAGAAUUAAGAUAUAAGAACAAUAUAAUUACUGGAGAAAAAAAAUAACAUUACAAAGAAGAUAAAAGAAUGAGAACUUUCUCUUUAAAGUGCGAACAUUAGAAAUUGCAAUUAACACGAUUUAUUGCAAUCCAAAUAAAUAAAUAAACCUUCAGGUCUCCAUCAACACUAAUCAUGCCAUUUUACGAGAUGUCCUACCGUGGACCCAUGGUGGGGGCACAUGAUUUAACGGGGCAUGAUUUGCAUGAUUUAACUUGUUUAGAAAUGUCUUGGAAUUAAUUUUUUAAAGUAUUUUUUAUUUGAAAAUAAAUUAAAAUAAUAAUUUUAAUUUUUUUAAAAUUUAAUCAAAAUUAUACAAAAUCAUAAAAAAAUUCAAAAUUAUUUUUUAAAUACCAAAAUAAACACAUUCAAAUUCUAACUGAAUUCAAAAAUUAACUUAAAACUUGCCGUUUAUAAUUUACAUUAAUUAAAAUUUUAACUUAGUAAGAUUCAUUCAACUUAAUCAUAUUAUUGAAGAAUCGAGUGAUAUGAUAAAACUUGAUUUACAACCAUCCAAGUCAAUAUUGUUUUUUUUUAUUUUUUGGUACUUUAGAUUUUCAAAAACCCAAUUUAUUCAUUUACCCGUAAAAAAUCAUAGUUAUUAUCGUAUGUGUAUUUAAGACUUUAAAUUUAAUUUAUAAUUUAGAUAUGUGAAUUAUAUUUGUCAAUUCAAACCAUUAUUUGUUUUUUUAUAUAAAAAAAAUUUAACUAAAAAAUAGAUUAAAAUUAAGGUUAAAGGUUAUAUUAAAAUUGAGACAUGUUUAAAUGUUGCAUGAUAAAUUGUUUUUAUUUUAGCAUGUUAUUGAUUCACCAAGUUAAUAUAGUAACCCACGUGUUAAUGUAAUUAUCUAAAAAUUUAGAUUAUUUUUUAAAUAAUUUCUUUUAAUUUUGAACAUCGAUUGGGAAACUCACCUUUAUGUAGGUAACUCUAUGCUUGAACAAGCCUCUGAAUUUUCAAAAUACAAAUGAGAAUUUCGGGAGGGACAAAUAGAAUCUGCCAUUCAUGGCACCAUUUUAUUUUUGUGUUCUUAAUUGUUUUAGAUAUUUUUCAAAAAUAUAUAUGGCUUGAAAAAAAAUAUUAAAUUAAUAUUUUAUAAUAUAUUUUUUUAUAAUUUUAAUACUAAUAUAAAAAAAUAUUUAUAUCAAAUACACAAUUAAGAAUCUAAACUAUUGCAGUAAAACCAUGCUAUAUUCUAAAUUCUUGAGAACCGCUUGUCUAAUAAAUCAUAAUUUUAAAAUCUCUUAAUACUAUUUUUAGCCUUUGGAAAUUAAUAAAUAUGUCACUUCGAUUCAUGUAGUUUAAAAGUUUUCAAUGUCAACUCUUAUUUUUCUAGGAGGUCAACUUUUGUUCAAUAUCAAAUGAGAUCAUCAAUCAAUAUUAAUAAAACGUUUUUAUUAUAUAUUUAAGAUAUUUAUUAUUAUAAUCAUCGUUCUUAUUAAUGCUACAAUGAUAGCAAGGAUACAAAAUUAUUUAAUUAAAAAGAUAAAAAUAAAUGUAUUUUUAUGACAAUUUUAAAAUAAUUUUUUAUACUUCUAGAAUACAAAGAAAUAUACGUUUUCUCUAACCCCAAUGUCUUUGUCUUUUAUAUUAUAAGACAAUAAUCAAAAGUUACCUAAAAGUAAUAUAUGAACACACCAUGCGUUUAAUUAGGACAAAAAAAAACUUGAAAAUAAAAUGAUUUUUUAAAAAAAUUUUCUUUACAUCUUAGAAAAUAAAUAAAAAAUUGAAAACCUCAAAUUAACCCACUCAUCGAUAUUAAACUUGAAUAACCUGUAAAAAUAAAUGGUUUAUUUAACCAAGUUUAUAUUAAAAUAAUAAUAUAUUAGAUUUAUCUGUGUUUUGUAAUUUAAGUUAUCAAAUCCACAAUGAGUUAUAGAUUCCACCUGAUGGAAGAACUUGGUUUUUUUCAAUACAAAAACAAAAACAAAAACAAAUGCUUGUUUUAUUAAAUACAGACUAAGUAUCAUGAUAUUUGUUUGAUAUUACAAUAAUAUUAUAAAAAAUAAACCAUUUCAAUUUAUAAAGAUAAAUUUAAAAUCAAGUAAAUACUAAAAAUUAAAAUUCAAAAAAGAAGGAAAAUGAGAAGAAAAAAAAUUCACCCCCUUCAAUGUUUAGAUGUAUCAAGUAACGGAGAGCCUCAGCUGGAAGGUGUAUCAACAAUGGAGGAUUCGCCACUGUUUCACUUGACUUGCUUUCAUUCCAAGACACUGACUUCCUUUCUCCAUUAUGUUAAAAUGGGUUCUGUAUCCAAGUUUCUUAACGAGAACAGCUACACAUAGCAGCCCUUCAAUGCAAAGUGAAAGCAACGAAAGAGAGUGUUUUUCGUUGUCCAGCUUGCUGUGAUAACAGAGGUUGGAGUGCUGUGUCAGCGAUGUCUUUGAGAAAUGUCUACAAAUUCCCAAACUUGGCAGACUCAGAGCAUCUCCGAUGAGAAACGCUAAAUGAAAGAGCUAAAUGGUUAAUAUACAACGAAUUUACGUUGUGGUUUUGAAAGAAUGAGCGUAAAGGUUGAAAACAGGGGAUGGAAAGGAGGCAAUCCUGGACCAUAAGAACUUUGAAUAAAAUAAAACAACAAUUUUCUUUUGCUUCAUCUUCUCCCUUCAGCUCACUCCACACGAUUUUCAGCUUAGCUCAAAACCACCCAUGGCAGCCAACAAACUUUCCCUCCUCCACUAAACCCACACGAUUUCAGUCUCAACCCAGCAGGGACUACACAACUGGAAGCAAGGUGCUUUGAGAUUAGCACACACUGGAAGAAUUAUAACACGUCUUAAAUUGCUUUUGGUUAACACUCACAUGCCAACAAUAUGAUUUCUAAGUCUUGUUCUUUGAAUUAGAAUCAAAAUCAGAAUGCAACAAACCCCAACAAGAAAGCUGCUACAACUCCUCCGAAUAUAUGUUUGGCGUCUAGUUUUUCUCUUCCAGUGCAAGCUCUAUCUUUGGAUGUGCUAUCGAGAACUUUACAGUCUCCAAGGUUUUGAAAAGAGUUUUCAUCUAGAUAACAGCAGUCCAGAAACAACUCUUCUAGAACCUGCUAAGGUCAAGUUAAAAAUUGUUGUUGCUGCUGCAACAUCCAGAGCUCACCUUCAUUGUCAACACAAAAAAAAUAAAAAUGGCUGCCUUCUAGUCGCGGAGCAGUUGCUGUAGGAGUAUUGGUGGGGCAAAGCCAAUCGGAGGAUGUUGUAUUGAGAAGUGCUUGCAAUCAGAGGAUGAUGUACUGAGAAGCGCUUUCACUGCUACACCAAGUAACUCAACCAUGGCAGAUUUUUGUCGAAGUUUGAAUAACAUCUGCUAGCUCGGCAAUAAAUAGAUGACAACGAAUUGGAGCAAUGACUUCCAGCUUCUUCAUUAACCCCAACCAAAGCCAAAUCAAACUCAGCCGAUAUAAAUCCACUCUUCAAAACAAAGAAACCUCUCUAUAGGAUUCCCCCCCUCUCCCUUGGGUGACCGUGAUGUGAGUAAAGAGCAUAGAAACCUGCCUCAUGGUGAAGAGACUGGCUAUGAAAUUUUUGCAUAAGGUCAUGCGUGAAAAUCUGAAAAUAGCAUGGAUUUCGCUUUUGAAAGGAGCAAACACCAAGAGUUGAGACCAUUGAGAACAUAUAAGAUCAAAUCAGAAUCAUCAAUAGGUUUCCAACGGUAGAGAGUUCAUCAACAAGAGAUUUAACUUCAUCCAGAAAUUUCUGACAAGACAAGAAGCCUUGCUGUAAAGACUGCAACUUUCACUUGAUAAGAGAAACGCGAGAAGUUGAUGGCACAACAAAAGAUGCACCAAGGGCUUGCCAAACAAGACGAGAAGUCUCAAGGCCAUAAAUGGUGGAGACCACCGUAGGAGAUAAUGAGUAGAUAAUCCAACCAAGUAUUGUUUGGUCCUUAUACUCCAAGCCAUAUAAGCAGAAUUAAUAAUAUCUUGGACCUUGUGUUCUUUGCUGGAAACCGAGGAGGACAAAAUUCGGAACCAUCAACAAUUCCCAUGAGUUCAUAACUCCGAAACAGAGAAAGCAAUUGAGCACUUCAGGCAAGAAGGUUCCAUCGAGUUUGAUGGAAAUAACUUGAGCUGGAAGAUGCAGCAGAAGACAAUGAAGAAUCUACAACAGCAGCCAGAAGAUCGUUAGAAGCAUUAGUUAUGAGAUGCAAAGAAUUAUAACACGUCUUAAAUUGCUUUUGGUUAACACACACGACUGGAAGCUAAAAGGGAAGUUCUUCUUAGAAUACUUGGCCAGGACUGGGACAAUCAAAGUUAGAUUUUUCUUCUUCAAGGCAAGGUGCUUUGAGAUUUCAUGUUGCUCUAUUCUCUUGCAUCAGUUUUUUAAGAGGAAGAGGCAAGUGCAGAUAGCCGUUGGCUAACGGUUAUAUGUAGCUUCAACAACAUUUUAGCUUUUUCAUAGAAUGUGUACAAAUAGCAUAGCAUUUCAUUUGAAGAAAUGCUAUUUUACCUGUUGAUAUAUAGCAAUCACAUUGGAGUUGCUAACAUGAGAGGAAAAAAAGCUAACAUAACUGUUAUUCCCUUUUAGCAGCUGUGUUGGAGAUGCUCUUAUAGCUGACAAGGAUGACAAAGGAAACACACCCUUACAUCUGAUCGCUGCAUUAGCGUCCAGAUGGGGAAAGUUCUCUGUUUAGAAUUAGUACAACAGAUCAGGAAUUUUUAUAACCAGCUAAUAGUUCCAUCGUAAAACACACUAGUUGUGGCAACAUGAACAAACGCUUGGCAGUAGAUCAAUGAUAAAUUGAUAAUUGUUAUUUGAUAAUAAGUUAUAAUAAUGGAUCAUAAACAAUAUUUUAACGUUUCCCCUGCAGAAACGGAUCUUAGAAUCCUUCGAAAAUGAUGGUAGUAAACCACUUGUGGAGCAUUGUGGUGAAGAGCUGAAAAAGGCAAGCUCAACGGACAAUUAAGACACGGAUAUUUCGAUAAAAUGAGAAUUAUGAAUUGAUUGAAAAUAAACUUCUAUUAAAUCAGUUUCUAUUAAAUAGGCAGUAUAUAUACCAUUACAAGAAAAUCGGGAUCACAAUCGGAUGAUAACAUUAUCCCUGAAGAAAAACCUAAUAACAUCAAACUUCCCAGUAUCUGCUGAAUGAUUCCAACAAAAUAGCAUAUCUGACGAUUUCCUAGAAAUAUAGUUCAGCUAUAGCCAACUUGAUGAUCUCUCACGAAGAUUCCAGCAUCUCUUUCAUUCCUAACAAUAGCAGCGGUCACAUUUACGGCACCAUUUCCCUCCCAUAGCCUGCCGGUUACAGGAACAAACAAAGCCCUGAUCAAGGCACAGCAAUUCUGAUUAACAAAUGAUAUGUCAAUUUCAAACGUCUGGCAUCAAAACAUGCCAACAGACAUUUAGAAUUGCAGUGCCAUGAUUAGGGCCUCCUUCGUUCACGAGAGCCUUCCAGCUUGCCAUCAUCUUACAUUACUAAUAAGAAAGUUUGAAACUGCAAUCCUGGUUAUGAAGUCUACAGAUGAAGUCUACAAUCUGUAAUAAGGCUCGUUUUUAUAUUAUUCCAGUCAUUUGAUUGACUGGAAAAAUUUAUAAUAGAUCCAUUAAUGAGCAUUCAAUUGUAGAACAGAAAAACAAGGGAAAUGGAUAUAGUGCUGUUAUUUAACUCCUAUCUUGUGGGUUAUGCGGGAGAAGAAGCUGAUGACAACACACACUGUCUGAGUUUUUUCAGGCUCUAAACCCAUUUACAGAGGGUACAAGAGUAUAGUUAAAACUCAAUUUCAAUAGCAGAUUUAAAAACUACGAAUUUUUCAGAAUCAAUUUGCCUCAGUUAAAUCCAUUAAUAUCAUUACAAUGUAGCUUACACCAAGUAGGUUCUCCCUGUAAACAGGGUCUCGGCUCCACUACACCUAAAAUAAAUUGGAUUGUAUCAUCACAGACAAAUUUACAAUACAUUGAUGCUCAAAACAAAUAAUAACAUGAC